This 2158-nucleotide long non-coding RNA is filed under the name Chlamydomonas reinhardtii. Its description in RNAcentral is "long non-coding RNA (CREI_LNC001429)". The record is from RNAcentral. Lineage: Eukaryota; Viridiplantae; Chlorophyta; Chlorophyceae; Chlamydomonadales; Chlamydomonadaceae.
CUGGGUGGCGACGGCAGCCGCCCCUUUAUCGGCUUCCUCGUUGCCGUGUAGCCCGGUGUGCGAGAUCACUUUAAUUAGAGCGGUGGGUGCGCCCCGGGCGUGGCGUGCAUGGAGCAAUGCCACGAUUGAAUCCAGGAGGUCCCGAUGUUUACUCAGAUGCAGUCGCCGAGGCUCGUUAAUAGCUCGUUUGAUUAGGUACAAGCUUGCAACAGAAUCUGAUGCAAUAGUGAGCUUCUUGGUUGCAAAUUCUUUACCUUCGCCACCAAAUUCUGCGAGGGCAGCACGAAUUGCUGCCAAUUCAGCUCUCGUAAUAGUGUUAGUGCACCCAGCGCCAUUUGGAUUCACGUAGACAACGCGAGAAUCGCUGAACCAGGCGCAGGCGCCGGCAACCUGGACUUCUUUGCCAUUGUCAGUUUUGAUUUUGCUUACCGAACCAUCUGUCCAGACAGUGCCAUUCACGUCGUGGGCCAGAGCAUGGUGGGUCUGGAAUCGCGCGUUAGGAAAGCGUCGUGCUUCUUCAGCCAUGGCGUGUAUCGUCUUUGGGUUAGCGUGCUGGUAUUUGGCUUGCUUUAGAAGUGAGUUUGGGAGGGCCGGGCAGGUCGGGGCCGUGGCCGUGUGUGUCCACGUGCGCGGGUCGCUGAUGUGCGUGGGUGCGUUCGCCCCCCGUUUCAGUGUGUCCACGAGCCGUUUCAGGCGGGGGGCAAAGCACUGGAAACCGGCGGGGUUCCCAACAAUGACCAGUCGGAGCCCCUUCUGGCGUUCAGCCUGGGUGUUGGUGCCAAGUCCUGUGUCAAGGCCCGCGGUGCCCGCGGACCAGUUGGCCAGCUCGUGGCAAAGUGGGUGUUGAAGCCACUGCGUGUGGGGGAAGUGGCCGCUUUGGGAAGCGCCAAUACAGUAAGGGUUGGUUCCUGUGAGUCACGCAUAGCCUCGGCGCAUGCGAGGGCCCACAUGAGCGCCUUCCGUGCAUCGUGGGGGGUAGAGGGGGGGUGGGCAUAUUGCAAGCCGGUCCAUGCGGUCUGGUAGGCAUCGUGCAAUGCGCCAAAGGCCCCAUCAGCAGGGUCUCGUGUCCAGUAUUCGUGGGCUGCAGUGGAGGAGUUUAGUGGGGACGCAAACAUUUCCCGAAUGUGUACUGUUUGUGUGACCCGCAGGCAUUGGACAAUGGCUGCUACUGUACCUGCCGGCAGCGACACCUGGUGCAUUGGCAUGGCCUUGUGUUGUGGAACUAAUGCGUACGUAGACCAGAGCGGAAGGCGGAGUGGGCUUGCAGGCGGCACGAGAGUAGGCAGUCAGUAGCGCAAGUUGCGAAUUCACAUGUUACCUCGUAACCGACGGUAAACGCUGUGGACGGUCGCGCCCAUGGCUGGCUGACGGGAGGUGGCUGCUGUAUUGGGAUGGCUGGGCUGGACGACGCCGGCCGGGCUGGCGUUGGGACUACCAGAAAGGAUGCGCCCAAAACCAACCUGGAGAACACCAGCGCCACCAUUAGUAGGGAAACAAAAGGCGGAAGCCAGCGUGUCGGACAGACCUGGACUGGGCUACAUAGGCUGGGCACUUGCAGCACGCCCGCCGGCCUGACUGCGUGCCAGCUUACUGGUUAUGCUGGUGGCCAAUCACCGGAUCGCUAACUCAGUUAGCGAUUUGACUCGUCCUUACGGCAGAAGGGACCCGGGUACAAAUCCGGAUAAAAGCCCAAUUACGCAAAAGGCGAAAGAUUGGUGCGAAACCGAUUGGUGAUCCCACGAACAAUAGGUAAUUGCCCUUAGUGGCAAUUGUGGGCUUACGCCCGCUGCAACCUAGAAAGGUCGUGGUGCAGAAGUCCGAUUUAGUGGCGAGGUCCAAGGUUCAAGACAAGUUCAAGAUCCAAGGCUCGAGGAGGAGCGCCAUGGCUCCUCGGUUUGCACGAACUGGCAGUGCUCCACUACUAUAACGCGGCGUUUCCCUAGCUCGAUAUGCUAGGUGUGCAGGCUUGGAUGUAGUGGACUUUGAAGAGCGGCCUAGGACUUGGCGGUUGUAGUUUCGGAGGUUGUGACUCUUUCGUGGUGAGGCGUCAGCGUGAGGGGGGCGGGCCCUCUCGCCCUAGUCACCUUGCCCCGUUAAUCCAUGCCAGGCCCUAUGGGCCGGCGUUGUAAUUAUUAUUAUUAUUAUUAUGCUGGUGGCC